GGCCACAGCCAUAUCACCCUGCAGCCCAAGACUGGUUGCCCACUGAAGCUAAGCAGGGUUGAGCCUGGUCAGUACCUGGAUGGGAGACCUCCUGGGAAAACUAGGUUGCUGUUGAAA
RNAcentral lists this ribosomal RNA (117 nucleotides) under Sinocyclocheilus rhinocerous. Lineage: Eukaryota; Metazoa; Chordata; Actinopteri; Cypriniformes; Cyprinidae. The record is from RNAcentral.